UUUGUUUUGUUUUUUUUUUU
This 20-nucleotide microRNA is filed under the name Corchorus olitorius. RNAcentral's name for it is "bta-miR-24". The record is from RNAcentral. RNAcentral also lists the same sequence under 1 other name. Lineage: Eukaryota; Viridiplantae; Streptophyta; Magnoliopsida; Malvales; Malvaceae.